RNAcentral lists this ribosomal RNA (253 nucleotides) under uncultured bacterium. RNAcentral's name for it is "partial 16S ribosomal RNA". It matches the Rfam family "Bacterial small subunit ribosomal RNA", at positions 524 to 776 of the family's 1533-position model. The record is from RNAcentral.
UACGUAGGGUGCAAGCGUUGUCCGGAAUUACUGGGCGUAAAGCGUGUGUAGGCGGCUACGUAAGUCGGAUGUGAAAGCCCCAGGCUCAACCUGGGAAGUGCACUCGAUACUGCGUAGCUUGAGUAUCGGAGAGGUUGGUGGAAUUCUCGGUGUAGAGGUGAAAUUCGUAGAUAUCGAGAGGAACACCGGUGGCGAAGGCGGCCAACUGGACGAAUACUGACGCUGAGACACGAAAGCGUGGGGAGCAAACAGG